CUGGUAGAUGAUGGACUUAUGGCGCAUUAGCUUGUUGGUAGGGUAACGGCCUACCAAGGCGACGAUGCGUAGCCGACCUGAGAGGGUGACCGGCCACACUGGGACUGAGACACGGCCCAGACUCCUACGGGAGGCAGCAGUAGGGAAUUUUCGGCAAUGGGGGAAACCCUGACCGAGCAACGCCGCGUGAAGGAAGAAGUAAUUCGUUAUGUAAACUUCUGUCAUAGAGGAAGAACGGUGGAUAUAGGGAAUGAUAUCCAAGUGACGGUACUCUAUAAGAAAGCCACGGCUAACUACGUGCCAGCAGCCGCGGUAAUACGUAGGUGGCGAGCGUUAUCCGGAAUUAUUGGGCGUAAAGAGGGAGCAGGCGGCACUAAGGGUCUGUGGUGAAAGAUCGAAGCUUAACUUCGGUAAGCCAUGGAAACCGUAGAGCUAGAGUGUGUGAGAGGAUCGUGGAAUUCCAUGUGUAGCGGUGAAAUGCGUAGAUAUAUGGAGGAACACCAGUGGCGAAGGCGACGAUCUGGCGCAUAACUGACGCUCAGUCCCGAAAGCGUGGGGAGCAAAUAGGAUUAGAUACCCUAGUAGUCCACGCCGUAAACGAUGA
RNAcentral lists this ribosomal RNA (604 nucleotides) under uncultured bacterium. Its description in RNAcentral is "bacterial SSU rRNA". It matches the Rfam family "Bacterial small subunit ribosomal RNA", at positions 215 to 812 of the family's 1533-position model. The record is from RNAcentral.